RNAcentral lists this ribosomal RNA (754 nucleotides) under uncultured bacterium. Its description in RNAcentral is "bacterial SSU rRNA". It matches the Rfam family "Bacterial small subunit ribosomal RNA", at positions 8 to 755 of the family's 1533-position model. The record is from RNAcentral.
AGAGUUUGAUCCUGGCUCAGAUUGAACGCUGGCGGCAUGCCUUACACAUGCAAGUCGAACGGCAGCACGGACCUCGGUCUGGUGGCGAGUGGCGAACGGGUGAGUAAAGCAUCGGAACGUGCCCGAUCGUGGGGGAUAACGCAGCGAAAGCUGCGCUAAUACCGCAUAAGAUCUACGGAUGAAAGCGGGGGACUCGCAAGAGCCUCGCGCGAACGGAGCGGCCGAUGUCAGAUUAGGUAGUUGGUGGGGUAAAGGCCCACCAAGCCGACGAUCUGUAGCUGGUCUGAGAGGACGACCAGCCACACUGGGACUGAGACACGGCCCAGACUCCUACGGGAGGCAGCAGUGGGGAAUUUUGGACAAUGGGCGCCAGCCUGAUCCAGCCAUGCCGCGUGCAGGAAGAAGGCCUUCGGGUUGUAAACUGCUUUUGUACGGAGCGAAAAGGCCCCUACUAACACUGGGGGUCCAUGACGGUACCGUAAGAAUAAGCACCGGCUAACUACGUGCCAGCAGCCGCGGUAAUACGUAGGGUGCAAGCGUUAAUCGGAAUUACUGGGCGUAAAGCGCGCGCAGGCGGUUUUGUAAGACAGAGGUGAAAUCCCCGGGCUCAACCUGGGAACUGCCUUUGUGACUGCAAAGCUGGAGUGCGGCAGAGGGGGAUGGAAUUCUGCGUGUAGCAGUGAAAUGCGUAGAUAUGCGGAGGAACACCGAUGGCGAAGGCAAUCCCCUGGGCCUGCACUGACGCUCAUGCACG